GACGAACGCUGGCGGCGUGCUUAACACAUGCAAGUCGAGCGGUAAGGGCCCUUUCGGGGGUACACGAGCGGCGAACGGGUGAGUAACACGUGGGUGACCUGCCCUCAGCUCUGGGAUAAGCCUGGGAAACUGGGUCUAAUACUGGAUAUGACUCCACGGUGCAUGUCGUGGGGUGGAAAGCCUUGUGCGGCUGAGGAUGGGCCCGCGGCCUAUCAGCUUGUUGGUGGGGGAUGGCCUACCAAGGCGACGACGGGUAGCCGGCCUGAGAGGGCGACCGGCCACACUGGGACUGAGACACGGCCCAGACUCCUACGGGAGGCAGCAGUGGGGAAUCUUGCGCAAUGGGCGAAAGCCUGACGCAGCGACGCCGCGUGAGGGAUGACGGCCUGG
Molecule: ribosomal RNA, 390 nt
Filed under: uncultured bacterium
Lineage: Bacteria
Description: bacterial SSU rRNA
Rfam family: Bacterial small subunit ribosomal RNA
Source: RNAcentral